This 23-nucleotide non-coding RNA is filed under the name Arabidopsis thaliana (thale cress). Lineage: Eukaryota; Viridiplantae; Streptophyta; Magnoliopsida; Brassicales; Brassicaceae. The record is from RNAcentral.
UGAUGGCCUAUACAUCGAGAGGG